RNAcentral lists this ribosomal RNA (468 nucleotides) under uncultured bacterium. RNAcentral describes it as "partial 16S ribosomal RNA". It matches the Rfam family "Bacterial small subunit ribosomal RNA", at positions 28 to 507 of the family's 1533-position model. The record is from RNAcentral.
GACGAACGCUGGCGGCGUGCUUAACACAUGCAAGUCGAACGGAAAGGCCCUGCUUUUGUGGGGUGCUCGAGUGGCGAACGGGUGAGUAACACGUGAGUAACCUGCCCUUGACUUUGGGAUAACUUCAGGAAACUGGGGCUCAUACCGGAUAGGAGCUCCUGCUGCAUGGUGGGGGUUGGAAAGUUUCGGCGGUUGGGGAUGGGCUCGCGGCUUAUCAGCUUGUUGGUGGGGUUGGGACUUUCCAAGGCUUUGACGGAUAGCCGGCCUGGGAGGGUGACCGGCCUCAAUGGGACUACGAUACGGCCCAGACUGGUACGUGAGGCAGCAGUGGGGAAUAUUGCAGAGUGGGCGGAAGCGUGAUGCAGCGACGCCGCGUGCGGGAUAACGGCCUUCGGGUGGUAAACCGAUGUGGCCUGUGCCGAAGCGUGAGUGACGGUAAUGGGUAAGGAAGCACCGGCUAACUACGUG